RNAcentral lists this ribosomal RNA (244 nucleotides) under Klebsiella sp. H-Nf2. RNAcentral's name for it is "partial 23S ribosomal RNA". It matches the Rfam family "Bacterial large subunit ribosomal RNA", at positions 1641 to 1868 of the family's 2925-position model. Lineage: Bacteria; Pseudomonadati; Pseudomonadota; Gammaproteobacteria; Enterobacterales; Enterobacteriaceae. The record is from RNAcentral.
AUCGUACCCCAAACCGACACAGGUGGUCAGGUAGAGAAUACCAAGGCGCUUGAGAGAACUCGGGUGAAGGAACUAGGCAAAAUGGUGCCGUAACUUCGGGAGAAGGCACGCUGAUAGGUAGGUGAAGUCCCUGCGGAUGGAGCUGAAAUCAGUCGAAGAUACCAGCUGGCUGCAACUGUUUAUUAAAAACACAGCACUGUGCAAACACGAAAGUGGACGUAUACGGUGUGACGCCUGCCCGGUG